GGCCGCCUGGGGAUUGCCUCAGUAGCGGCGAGUGAAGCGGCAAGAGCUCAGAUUUGAAAUCGUGCUUUGCGGCACGAGUUGUAGAUUGCAGGUUGGAGUCUGUGUGGAAGGCGGUGUCCAAGUCCCUUGGAACAGGGCGCCCAGGAGGGUGAGAGCCCCGUGGGAUGCCGGCGGAAGCAGUGAGGCCCUUCUGACGAGUCGAGUUGUUUGGGAAU
RNAcentral lists this ribosomal RNA (215 nucleotides) under Pichia kudriavzevii. RNAcentral's name for it is "partial 26S ribosomal RNA". It matches the Rfam family "Eukaryotic large subunit ribosomal RNA", at positions 56 to 281 of the family's 3401-position model. Lineage: Eukaryota; Fungi; Ascomycota; Pichiomycetes; Pichiales; Pichiaceae. The record is from RNAcentral.